Molecule: ribosomal RNA, 450 nt
Filed under: uncultured bacterium
Lineage: Bacteria
Description: partial 16S ribosomal RNA
Rfam family: Bacterial small subunit ribosomal RNA
Source: RNAcentral
GUGGGGAAUCUUCCGCAAUGGACGAAAGUCUGACGGAGCAACGCCGCGUGAGUGGAGAAGGUUUUCGGAUCGUAAAGCUCUUUCGUUAGGGACGAACGUGCUCUUUGUGAAUAAUGAGGAGUAAUGACGGUACCUAAAUAAGAAGCCACGGCUAACUACGUGCCAGCAGCCGCGGUAAUACGUAGGUGGCAAGCGUUGUCCGGAAUUAUUGGGCGUAAAGCGCGCGCAGGCGGGAUAUCAAGUCUGUCUUAAAAGUGCGAGGCUCAACCUCGUGAGGGGACAGAAACUGGUAUUCUUGAGUGUCGGAGAGGAAAGUGGAAUUCCAAGUGUAGCGAUGAAAUGCGUAGAGAUUUGGAAGAACACCAGUGGCGAAGGCGACUUUCUGGACGAUGUCUGACGCUGAGGCGCGAAAGCUAGGGGAGCGAACGGGAUUAGAUACCCUGGUAGUCC